AUGGCGAUGCGGGCGGCAGCGGCCUUCUUCUCGCCCUCCGUCUCCCCGAGCCCGAAGCAGCAGCACACGCACUCCGUCUUCUCCCCCCGGCGCGGCUCCACCCGCCGUAUCGAUCCCCGUCGCCUCCGCGCCUUCCCAGCCACCGAGCUCACCCUCGAGGAGCUCAACCCCUCCGUCGCACUGCUCAGGAAGACCGCGGAGGCCGUCGGCGAUUUCAGGAAGACGCCCAUCUACAUCGUCGGGACGGACUGCAAUGCCAAGCGCAACAUCGCCAAGCUGCUCGCCAACUCCAUCAUUUACCGCUACCUCUGCAGCGAGGACCUGCUCGAGGACGUCCUCGGCGGCAAGGACGCCCUCGCCGCCUUCCGGGAGUCCGACGAGAAAGGCUACCUCGAAGUCGAGACCGAGGGGCUGAAGCAGCUCACGUCCAUGGGCAGCCUCGUGCUUUGCUGUGGCGAUGGCGCCGUCAUGAACUCCACCAACUUAGGGCUACUGAGGCAUGGAGUCUCCAUCUGGAUCGAUGUCCCUCUCGAAUUAGCCGUGAACGAUAUGUUGAAGAGCAAGGGAGCACAAGCUAUUUCAGACCCUGAUUCCUUUUCUCAGGCAAUGGCAAAGCUCCGUCAGCGUUAUGAUGAUCUGAAAGAGCGGUAUGCAGUUUCUGAUGUUACUGUUUCAGUACAGAACGUGGCUUCUCAGCUAGGCUACAGCAGCAUCGACUCUUUGAGCCUGGAGGACAUGGUCAUUGAGAUUGUGAGUCGGAUUGAGAAGCUGAUCCAAGCGAAGGCGAUGAUGGAAGCUGCUGGGAAGCCUGAAUGA
Molecule: ribosomal RNA, 816 nt
Filed under: Triticum aestivum (bread wheat)
Lineage: Eukaryota; Viridiplantae; Streptophyta; Magnoliopsida; Poales; Poaceae
Description: partial small subunit ribosomal RNA
Source: RNAcentral